Molecule: ribosomal RNA, 446 nt
Filed under: uncultured bacterium
Lineage: Bacteria
Description: bacterial SSU rRNA
Rfam family: Bacterial small subunit ribosomal RNA
Source: RNAcentral
ACUCCUACGGGAGGCAGCAGUAGGGAAUCUUCCACAAUGGACGAAAGUCUGAUGGAGCAACGCCGCGUGAACGAUGAAGGCUUUCGGUCGUAAAGUUCUGUUGUAAGGGAAGAACAAGUGCCGCAGGCAAUGGCGGCACCUUGACGGUACCUUGCGAGAAAGCCACGGCUAACUACGUGCCAGCAGCCGCGGUAAUACGUAGGUGGCAAGCGUUGUCCGGAAUUAUUGGGCGUAAAGCGCGCGCAGGCGGCCUCUUAAGUCUGAUGUGAAAGCCCCGGCUCAACCGGGGGAGGGCCAUUGGAAACUGGGAGGCUUGAGUAUAGGAGAGAAGAGUGGAAUUCCACGUGUAGCGGUGAAAUGCGUAGAGAUGUGGAGGAACACCAGUGGCGAAGGCGACUCUUUGGCCUAUAACUGACGCUGAGGCGCGAAAGCGUGGGGAGCAAACA